This 72-nucleotide transfer RNA is filed under the name Bos taurus (domestic cattle). It matches the Rfam family "tRNA". From Rfam's summary of the family: Transfer RNA (tRNA) molecules are approximately 80 nucleotides in length. Their secondary structure includes four short double-helical elements and three loops (D, anti-codon, and T loops). Lineage: Eukaryota; Metazoa; Chordata; Mammalia; Artiodactyla; Bovidae. The record is from Rfam by way of RNAcentral. RNAcentral also lists the same sequence under 5 other names.
UCCUUACUAGCUCAGAGGGUAAAGCGUCUGCCUGCAGUGCGGAAGACCUGGGAUCAACCCCUGGGUCAGAAA